RNAcentral lists this ribosomal RNA (751 nucleotides) under Triticum aestivum (bread wheat). RNAcentral describes it as "partial small subunit ribosomal RNA". Lineage: Eukaryota; Viridiplantae; Streptophyta; Magnoliopsida; Poales; Poaceae. The record is from RNAcentral.
AUGUGUGUACCCAAAAAUCAAGGGGGUACGGGAUUCCGGGAUAUUCAUUGCUUCAACCUGGCAAUGCUAGCAAAACAAGCGUGGCUUAUCAUUGAGAAUCCAGAUUCCUUAUGUGCGACCGUGCUGAGAGCUAAAUAUUUCCCAAACGGUGAUUUAUUGAAUACAAAGCUAAAAAAGGGCUCCUCUUUUACUUGGCAAAGUAUUAUGGCAGGGGUUAAUUGUCUAAAUCUUGGUUAUGUUUGGCUUGUUGGAAAUGGUCACAACAUUGAUAUUUGGGAAGAUGCUUGGAUCCCUAACUACGCAAAUAGAAAAGUAAUCACACCUAGGGGGAGUAAUUUUUUCUCAAGGGUAUCUCAUCUAAUUGAUCCUGCUACUAGUAACUGGGACAAAAAUCUGGUUACAGAAAUAUUAUGGCCAGUUGAUGCACAAAGGGUCCUUUCAAUUCCUUUGCCCCAACAUGACAUGUUGGACUUUGUCGCCUGGAGCUAUUCAAGGAAUGGAACAUUUUCUGUUCGGUCAGCCUAUGCAGUGAAAUGGGAACACCAACACGGGGGGAAACUAAGAAGAAACGAUGGUAUGGGACACAUGACUAUCAAUCCUAUUUGGAGUGACAUUUGGAAAUUAUCUUGUCCAUCGAAGGUUAAAAUUUUCAUUUCGCGUACGCUGCAUGGCACCCUCCCAUGUAGAGUUAAUUUGGUGAAUAGACACAUAAAAGUUACCCCCAAUUGUCCUGCAUGUUCCUUUGGAUCAG